AAAACAGUUGUAUCUUAACGGAUUGAGAAACAAAAGCAGGACCACUUUUCAUCAGCUCCCUCCUUCUCCUUAACCGGCAAUACAUGCUGAUGCUGAUAUCCCAUAGACCCUCAGCUCCAUCCUGAGUCACUGGGAACGUGGUCUAAACCCUCACUAUUAAUAUGAACUGAGUUUCAAUAAGAAUCUUAUAUGGGUCGGGCAUAGUGGCUCAUACCUUUGAUCCCAGCACUUCAGGAGGCCAAGGCAGGUGGAUUGCUUGACCCAGUCUAGGCAACAUGGUGAAACCCUGCCUCUACAAAAAAUACAAAACUUAGCCAGGCAUGGUGAUGCGUGCCUGUGGUCACAGCCACUCGAGAGGCUGAGGUGGGAGGACCACUUGAGCCUGGGAGGUGGAGGUCGUGUUGAGCCAAGAUCGCACCACUGCACUCCAGCCUGGACAACAGAGUGAGACCUGUCUCAAAAAAACCAAAAACCAGAAAAGAACUUACUUAAAGAAUAUAAUUGGGUCUUGUCAUUCCCUUAUUUAAACUCUUGUACCCAUUUCCCAGUGCCGUUUAGAUAGAGAUUCCAGACUUUUUUUUUUCCCCCUUAGUUCUCAGCGGAACAGUCACUUCCUUAGGGAGGUUCUGUUUCUCCUGAAGGAGAGCUGGAAGAAUGACUUGCAUUCUUUUGCAUACACAGGCCUUACCUGGUGAACCUUCUGCCGUGCCUGACUCGAACAAGCAAGAGACCCGAGGAAUCAGUCCAGGAGACCUUGGCUGCAGCUGUUCCCAAAAUUAUGGCUUCUUUUGGCAAUUUUGCAAUAAGGACUUCUUUCCACUUCUCAUUUCUUACUGUGGGGUGAAGAGUUGAAUUGGGAGAUGGUUUCUAGAUGCAAAUUGAAAAGGCAUUUUUCCAGAGCAGGUUCGUUUUCGGCGUACUAGAGUGACUCUUUAACCUAGCUGCGGGAAGGUGACUGUGCCAGGACUGCAGGUAGGAGAAAGCUCACUGACGAGGCCUUGUGGGUCUGAACGUCCUGCAGCUAUCAGGGCCUGUUGGCUUCCUGUUGUGCAUUCCAACAAAUCAUCUUCAAACCCACUUUAGUGUUUUGUUUAUAACGUCCAGAAAUAGUGACCCUGUCACAUGCUCUACAGAUUACAGGAUUCUUAGCCUCUUCCUUUUUGGUAGGUCAGUCCUGGGUUUGAGCCCAAGUGACCCUCCUGGGAGGUGAUGAUACACAGUGGGUAGAGUGGAAUCAGAUGGACUUGGAUUAGAAUUCUGUCCUCUUUACUAGUUAUUUUCCUCUAGGCAAACUACCCAACAGCUCUAAGC
RNAcentral lists this long non-coding RNA (1311 nucleotides) under Pan troglodytes (chimpanzee). Its description in RNAcentral is "long non-coding RNA NONPTRT012368". The record is from RNAcentral. Lineage: Eukaryota; Metazoa; Chordata; Mammalia; Primates; Hominidae.